This 460-nucleotide ribosomal RNA is filed under the name uncultured bacterium. RNAcentral describes it as "partial 16S ribosomal RNA". It matches the Rfam family "Bacterial small subunit ribosomal RNA", at positions 338 to 795 of the family's 1533-position model. The record is from RNAcentral.
CCUACGGGUGGCAGCAGUGAGGAAUUUUGGUCAAUGGGCGCAAGCCUGAACCAGCCAAGUAGCGUGAAGGAUGACUGCCCUACGGGUUGUAAACUUCUUUUAUAAAGGAAUAAAGUGAGGCACGUGUGCCUUUUUGUAUGUACUUUAUGAAUAAGGAUCGGCUACCUCCGUGCCAGCCGCCGCGGUAAUACGGAGGGUCCGAGCGUUAUCCGGAUUUAUUGGGUUUAAAGGGAGCGUAGAUGGGUUGUUAAGUCAGUUGUGAAAGUUUGCGGCUCAACCGUAAAAUUGCAAUUGAUACUGGUAGCCUGGAGUACAGUUGAGGUAGGCGGAAUUCGUGGUGUAGCGGUGAAAUGCUUAGAUAUCACGAAGAACGCCGAUUGCGAAGGCAGCUUACUAAACUGCCACUGACAUUGAUGCUCGAAAGCGUGGGUAGCAAACAGGAUUAGAUACCCGUGUAGUC